Long non-coding RNA from Hyla sarda, 811 nucleotides. RefSeq lists it as uncharacterized. The transcript is spliced from 5 exons. The record is from RefSeq and is a predicted model, not a curated record. Lineage: Eukaryota; Metazoa; Chordata; Amphibia; Anura; Hylidae.
GCUCACUGCUUUCAUUUUUAACAAGGCCUCUGCAAAAUGAAAGCAGCGAUCUGAUUGGUUGCCAUGGGCAACUCAGCAACUUUUAAUCUGGACAGGUUCUUUUAUGGCCUUCUUGCCGCCGUACUAGAUAUUUGUAGAGGGACGUACACGACUAUGGCUAGGGAAUAAGUAUCUGAUCGUGGAGUCCUGUUUCAGCCGGUGAUUGGCUGAGAGGAGACGUCGCUCCUGCUCAUAUCUAAAGGAGAAGCUGUCUCCAACCUUGGACCGUGUAUAGGAUAACUAUGCCCUGGCGUCACAAAGUGAUCAGACACUUUGCCAGUGUAUAAGAUGGUUGAUAUACAGCGAUGAAGAUCUCCAUCAUCUCCUUGUAAUAUACCAACCUGACAAAUGCAGAGGAAUAGAAGUUCCCUUCACAUGUGAUAGUGAGGUCAGGGUUCGGCUGACUCUCUUAGUGCUAUUGAGCUGAGGUACAGUGAAGACAAGUCUGAGGAGUCUGUGGAGUGAUCCUGAAGGAGGCCAGAGGCCUAGUCCAGCAACCACUUCAAGUUAACUCCUGCACCGUGGGUGAAAGUCAAAGCCAAUGGUAGGACCUAAACAUAGUGGGGAUUCUGCUGAAGUCCAGUCUAAGUAGUCAGUCAAGUCAGUCUGUUAACAAGCGUGUCUGCAUCAGUCAAUACAAGUCCCAGCAAGCCGAUAAGCUUCCCUACGUUCACCCUGCAUCUCCUUAGUGCCUAUCUGAGCUGUAUGGACUUUAACACCUUGUCUACAUCAGUAAAGACUACCAGUUAACCGUAACCUCGCAUCAGAGGGA